CAGGCCCAGGCCUAAGCCGAGUUCUCAGCACAGUUAACCAGAGUCCUGGAUGACAGUUGCAGAUUGCCCAGGUUGACAGAGUACUUUUUAUCACAUGCUAAGGUCACUUAUGAAGAUUCUGGAGGGGAAAUUGGCUGAGUUGGACUCAUUAUGGGACAAGACAGUCCGUCACGUGGCCCCUUCCCAGGGAUUUUGAAGAGCGGUUUUAACCAUGAACAACUUUCCCCUUAACUGCUAGCUUGAGUGCCUGCUUUCCACUUCCAGCUUAGCCUUUGUGCCCACUCUGCGCAUCAGAGCCCUGGAGAGGAGAAGAAGGGAGGAGCAUCCCACACCCCUAAACGAAACAGCAAAGUGCAGACCAUGGAAGCUGGAGGGAACAGGAAACCAUCCAGCACAACCUCUCAUCCAACAUAGCUCCCCUCUUUCCAGCAUCUUCAGUGGCUGGUCAACUCACAUCCAUUCAGAUACCUCUAAGGAUGGUGAACUCAUUUCCUCCCUCUAGCUCACCCACCUCAUGGCGAGAAAUGCUUCCUUCUAAGAAAUCCAGACCUGAC
RNAcentral lists this long non-coding RNA (554 nucleotides) under Equus caballus (horse). RNAcentral describes it as "lncRNA (ENSECAG00000057472.1)". The record is from RNAcentral. Lineage: Eukaryota; Metazoa; Chordata; Mammalia; Perissodactyla; Equidae.